CCUGCAGAGGGAUUGGACAGACCUGGAGAGCUGUGUCUUCAGUGAGGUGGAUGCAGCAAAGAGUGGCCUCUACUGUGGACCAGCUAAGGCAGUCUCUGAGCAGCAGUCGGCUGUGAUUGGGCUCCUUCAUGAUUUUAACUCCUCCUCCGUCUUUGACCUCUGUGCCAUCCUUAAACCAGCUGAUCGUUAAUGAUUCCUGAGGAGCAAAGGGCAUCUUGAAAGCAGCGUUCUGCCCCACUCUAACAAUCACAGGUUUGGAGAACUUGUGAAGGUCGUCUGGGUCAAAUUCAGGUUGCUGACUCAGAGGGUUUGGAUAUCCCCAUGUCAUUCUUGGCAUAGACCCUGAACUUAUACUGCCUUCCUGGCAUGAUGUUGAUGGCAGUGAACUUGUUAUUGAAGAGGUGGUC
Molecule: long non-coding RNA, 407 nt
Organism: Lates calcarifer (barramundi perch)
Lineage: Eukaryota; Metazoa; Chordata; Actinopteri; Centropomidae
Exons: 3
Source: RefSeq, a predicted model, not a curated record